RNAcentral lists this transfer RNA (69 nucleotides) under Chloracris brunneri. Its description in RNAcentral is "tRNA-Asp". Lineage: Eukaryota; Metazoa; Arthropoda; Insecta; Orthoptera; Tettigoniidae. The record is from RNAcentral.
AGAAAAUUAGUUAAAUAAAUAACAUUAAUAUGUCAUAUUAAAAUUAUUAUAAAUUUAUAAUAUUCUCUU